Long non-coding RNA from Osmerus eperlanus (European smelt), 2213 nucleotides. RefSeq lists it as uncharacterized. The record is from RefSeq and is a predicted model, not a curated record. Lineage: Eukaryota; Metazoa; Chordata; Actinopteri; Osmeriformes; Osmeridae. The transcript has 2 exons.
UAUUUGGAAAGUCCUCAUUUUUCUUAGUGAUUUCUUUCAUAGCCUGAUGCUAUGGUUGGAGACUUAAGUCAAGCCAGUGGUAGUCUUGUAUACACCCUCGCCUAUCGUCCUAACCUGCUGAGUCACAGGGACGUCCUGUCAGAAUGGGCCUCCAGAGCUUCCCCCCCGAAAACCCCUCCAUUACUCCCAGUUCCGCGCUCUCAUUGGGCGUCGGAGCCGGGGGGGGGGUCCCCGCCCCCACAUCGUUGCACAUGACACGAGUAAAAAAACAAACAAAAAAAAAACCACGGCAUUCCUUUCAUCCUCCAUCAGCCCGAUCUCAUCUCGACAUCGUUGCCUUACUUGAAUUGUUGUUCUUAUCUACGACCGUAUGUACAAAGCUGCUUGUCUCACGCUUACGACAGUAUAUAUCGGCAAACACGUCAUGGCUCCCAUUCCAGUGUUCUAAUCCAUGCCGAGGCCGUCACUUGUAAAUGCAGAUUUUUUUUUUGAGCCGCUUUGUUAUGGAUCUCCACCGUGAUGCUGCUGGUUAUUCAACUGAGCCCCACAUCUGCUUUCAAGGGCAACUUCUUCCCAGGUGAAAUGGUUUAGUUGCCUUGCUUUUUGUCCCAUAAUGUUGUCAAAUGUUGCACGUUCAGUAACAGUUACAUGAUGACAAAAUAAAGUUGAAAGGUUUUGUUAUGAUUGAUAAUGAUUACAAAUAAAUAAUGGAAUUCGUUUUGAGGGGGUUCUUGCCCUGACUUAAGCACAUCAUUGGGUGAUAACUGUAUGUUCCCAAUAUCUGACUAAUGACCCCCAAAAAAACGAAAAUAUGUGGCACUUUGGACAGAAUAGAACAGUUAUUAUUUUUUAAUUUGUUUUACUAUCAGUCUUUUUGUUGCGUCCUUACAUCAUGACAUUUCUUUGACACAUGCUUUACGUGAGACAUGUGGUGGCAGGAGUUGUUCUCCGUCUGACCACUUGGGGGCAGUAGUAGAGCUCGCCGCGUUCGGCCCAUAGCUACAGCAGCACUGAGUGACCCAUCAUACCCGGCUCUGAAAGUGCUUCCUGGAUGAUAAGAACAGUCUCUGUGUUGGGACACACUCGUUGCUUUCAUCUCUGACGUCUUGGAAUACUAUACUCUCGCGUUGCCAGAUAUUAUAGGUCACCCCACCACCACACACACACACACACGCUUGCUUAGCUGUGAACUGGAAUAACGAGUGAAAUCUUACUUGAACAAAGAUAUUUAUUGCUUGAUGAGUGUCAGGUGAAGGAGAGCACGAGGUGACAUGGUUAACAGAGUUUGUACGAGAGAGGGAAAGAAACUGAUUGAUGAAAAGAAAAUGAUGGGGUGGACUUUUUUUUCCAGUGUUUAAUCUUUUUUCUUAAACCCUCAUCUUCUGUACCAGUCACGGCGAUCAGGCUUGCUCGCUCUUACUACCGGUUCUUAAGUGCGUCUCGGCUCCCUCAAGUCUGUGGUACUGGUAGCGUGUCGCCUCGGUUGGUUCAUCUGAAAGUCCAGUGCUUCUACGUUCGAUUCCUGAAGAAUCAAGAAGAAGAGCGUGCGCUUGAAACAAAUGAGAUUUCUAACUAACCCAGUGGAUCGACUGAUCUUAUUGACGGGCUAGAAGGAAAACAUGCAGGCGUAUCGACCACUCCGAAGAUGUCUUUCAUUUCUAAUUGCCGUGUGCCAGCCUUGAUCUUCCCCUCUCGUUCGUCUCCUCAAUCACGAAAGCAUCAAAUGUGAAGCUAGCUAGGUCUUAAACACAACGGGGGCGUACAAGCGUACAAAGCUACGUACUUAUUUUCUGUGUGUGUAUAUUAUUCCGAUUUAACCAUUGUUAUUAUUACUAGUAGAGAUUUUUCCAGCCAAAGCAUGUAACAUGUUGCUUUAAGCCUUUUGAACUGGCUACUCACAAGACUUGACGAUGUCUGCAUUUCCACAGUGGCCUGUACUGGUAAUACUAAUGAACGUGAUUUGUAGCCUGAUUCCCUCUGUACAGAAGUCUUGACUAUAAAUAUAUAAAUACAUUUAUAUUUAACAGAAACUUGAGUUGUAAGUGGUCAUGUGAAUGCUUGGGGCAUAUACAGUAUGUAUACAUUUGCUGAGUGUGUAUUGUUUAGUAUUUUUUCCUCAUGUUAAUUUGUAAUAUAAUUUCUUUUUUUUACUGUUUCCUUUCGUUGCUUAGAGACAACUGUAUAAAGUGAUGCAUUAAACUUUGCAAGCACUA